RNAcentral lists this ribosomal RNA (2007 nucleotides) under metagenome. RNAcentral describes it as "bacterial LSU rRNA". It matches the Rfam family "Bacterial large subunit ribosomal RNA", at positions 1 to 2033 of the family's 2925-position model. The record is from RNAcentral.
GAAAGUAAGCAAGGGCAGACGGUGGAUGCCUUGGCUCUCGGAGGCGAUGAAGGACGUGAUAAGCUGCGAUAAGCUUCGGGUAGGUGCAAAUAACCUUUGAUCCGGAGAUUUCCGAAUGGGGCAACCCGGCUGGUAGAAGGCCAGUCAUUCCGUAAGGAAGGCGAACGUGGGGAACUGAAACAUCUAAGUACCCAUAGGAGAAGAAAACAAAAGUGAUUCCGCAAGUAGUGGCGAGCGAACGCGGAACAGCCCAAACCGAUGAUGUUUAGGCAUUGUCGGGGUAGUAGGACCACGUUGUGGCAAGAGAUUAAGGAAGUAGAACGUUUUGGAACAAACGGCCGUAGACGGUGAAAGCCCAGUAUACGACUCUUUAACGAAGCCUAGUGGAAUCCUGAGUAGCGCGGAGCACGAGAAAUUCUGUGUGAAUCAGCGGGGCCCAUCCCGUAAGGCUAAAUACUCCCGAGAGACCGAUAGCGAACCAGUACUGUGAAGGAAAGGUGAAAAGCACCUCGAACAGAGGAGUGAAAUAGUCCCUGAAACCGUCUGCCUACAAGCGGUCGGAGCAACGUAAGUUGUGACGGCGUGCCUUUUGCAUAAUGAACCUACGAGUUACUUUCUCCGGCAAGGUUAAGGGCUUCAGGCCCGGAGCCGAAGCGAAAGCGAGUCUUAAUAGGGCGUGAUAGUCGGAGUGAGUAGACGCGAAACCAAGUGAUCUACCCUUGGUCAGGAUGAAGGUUGGGUAACACCAACUGGAGGUCCGAAUGGGUAUACGUUGAAAAGUGUUCCAAUGAACUGAGGGUAGGGGUGAAAGGCUAAUCAAACUUGGAGAUAGCUCGUACUCCCCGAAAUGCAUUUAGGUGCAGCCUUUAUUUAGUAUAGCAUGAGGUAGAGCGACUGAUUGGAUGCGAGGGCUUCACCGCCUAUCAAGUCCAGAUAAACUCCGAAUGCGUGCUAUAUAUUGAUAAGGAGUGAGGGCGCGGGUGCUAAGGUCCGCGUCCGAGAGGAGAAGAAUCCAGACCAUCAGCUAAGGUCCCCAAAUAACAGUUAAGUUGAACUAACGAAGUCGGACUGCAGAGACAGCUAGGAUGUUGGCUUGGAAGCAGCCAUUCAUUUAAAGAGUGCGUAACAGCUCACUAGUCGAGGAGUCCGGCGUGGAUAAUACUCGGGCAUAAACUGUUUACCGAAGCUAUGGAUGUAGAAAUACAUGGUAGGGGAGCAUUCCAACGGCGUCGAAGGUGAAGGAUGACCUUUGCUGGAGCUUUUGGAAACGCAAAUGUAGGUAUAAGUAACGAUAAAGGAGGUGAGAAACCUCCUCGCCGAAAGACUAAGGUUUCCUGAUCAACGUUAAUCGGAUCAGGGUAAGUCGGGACCUAAGGUUAAGCCGAACGGCGAUACCGAUGGAAGAAUGGUUUAAUAUUCCCAUACUACUUUAUGGAGCGAUGUGGAGACGGAGAAGUGAAAGUCCUGCCAUCUGACGGAAUAGGUGGUUGAAGAGUGUAGAUGUAGAUUCCUGUAGGCAAAUCCGCAGGGAGAGUCGACCUUGACAGUAUGCCGCGUGCUUGCACAAGGCAAAAUGGACGUAAUCAGGCUCCCAAGAAAAUCCGCUAAGCAUAUUCAUAAAGUACCCGUACCGUAAACGGACACACGUAGUUGGGUUGAAAAUACUGAGGCGCUCGAGUGAUUCACGGUUAAGGAACUAGGCAAAUUGACCCUGUAACUUCGGGAUAAAGGGUCCCUACUGAGAGGUAGGGCGCAGAGAAUAGGUCCAGGCAACUGUUUAACAAAAACACAUGGCUGUGCGAAAUAGAAAUAUGAAGUAUACAGCCUGACACCUGCCCGGUGCUGGAAGGUUAAGAGGAGAGCUCAUCGCAAGAGAAGGCUUGAAUUGAAGCCCCAGUAAACGGCGGCCGUAACUAUAACGGUCCUAAGGUAGCGAAAUUCCUUGUCGGGUAAGUUCCGACCUGCACGAAUGGUGUAAUGAUCUGGACACUGUCUCAACCGUGAGCU